Brassica rapa (field mustard) is the source of this 978-nucleotide long non-coding RNA. RefSeq lists it as uncharacterized. The record is from RefSeq and is a predicted model, not a curated record. NCBI's taxonomy places the organism in Eukaryota, Viridiplantae, Streptophyta, Magnoliopsida, Brassicales, Brassicaceae.
UGGAAGGCGUACACGUUCAAGUUUUGAUACUGUCUUGUCUGACGAAAUCAAAGAUCAUGGCGAGGUCCGUUUGAGGAGAAUGGUUAUGAAGGAGUCAAUUGAAGAGAUGUUUCCUGUAUGGUCGGAUGAACCUGACGACCCACAACUCGUUAGUGUAAGUUAAUAUUUACAUAUGGCGCGAAAAUUUUAGAUAUUUUAUCUCGCGACCUUUAAUGUUCUAUACUUCCCCUAUAUAUAGCCCCUUCUCUUGCACCUUCUCGCCUUAUCUCACUAGAAAACCUAAACAAUAUCUCUAUAUCGCCUUACAAAGUUAUGAUUGUUCCUGGUUAUUCAGAAAGGUUAGAGAACAGAGUCAAUGAGAUACUAAACUCUGAAAAUCGUGAAAACCUUCCCGUUCUAUACCCUGGCCCGGGUGUCUUGCUUGACAGCGUAAUCUGGUUUAAAUUUCUAAGCGAUCUCUCCCUGGCCAUCCCGUCGAUUUUAGCAGAAGGAUGGGUUCAUGAUUGGCCGACAUGGCGCGCCAUUCCCGAUCAUUUUAAGGAACGCUGGUUUCUUCAACUCGUUGUAAGGACAACAUCUUUGAAUUGUUUUUGAUAUUAGACAUAAUAACAGCACUUACAUUUGGAAAUUGGUUUUUUUGUUGUAGCGCAAACGCACGUGGGCACGAAGAUAUAAUUUUCAAGUUUGGACAAAUUUUAAUCUGGUGGCCAGAACGGUGUUUCGUUGUCAGAUGCGCCUCUUGAAGAGGAGGUGGGCACAUGGGGGUGAGAAGCCUGCGUGGAUGCUAACUAGAGUUUGGCGUGAUCUUGUCCACAUGUUUGAAGAAUUUGGUCCUGAUAAUUUUGGUUUUAGAAAUUGAUUUGUUGUUUUUGUUUGUAUUCAGCCGUCAAGUUUUUGUAAAGUUGUUUAACUCAGCCGUUAAGUUUCUAUAAAGUUGUUUAACUCAGCCAUUAAGUUUCUAUUAAGUUGUUUAACUCA